GCGAGCAUAGUUUAGUGGCAAAACUUCUGCCUUCCAAGCAGGUAUCGUCGGUUCGAUUCCGACUGCUCGCACCA
Molecule: transfer RNA, 74 nt
Filed under: Puniceicoccales bacterium
Lineage: Bacteria; Pseudomonadati; Verrucomicrobiota; Opitutia; Puniceicoccales
Description: tRNA-Gly
Rfam family: tRNA
About the family: Transfer RNA (tRNA) molecules are approximately 80 nucleotides in length. Their secondary structure includes four short double-helical elements and three loops (D, anti-codon, and T loops). Further hydrogen bonds mediate the characteristic L-shaped molecular structure. tRNAs have two regions of fundamental functional importance: the anti-codon, which is responsible for specific mRNA codon recognition, and the 3' end, to which the tRNAs corresponding amino acid is attached (by aminoacyl-tRNA synthetases). tRNAs cope with the degeneracy of the genetic code in two manners: having more than one tRNA (with a specific anti-codon) for a particular amino acid; and 'wobble' base-pairing, i.e. permitting non-standard base-pairing at the 3rd anti-codon position.
Source: RNAcentral